CUUUCUUCAAAUCUUUCCAGCUCAUUUGAAGGAAAAUGGGGGGAAAUUCCUCAGAGUUUUAAUUUGCUCAUAAGGACAUUGGAAUGAUCCGGUUUUGAGCUCCUUCACUGUGGAAGAGAGUUUGGCCUAUGGGCCUGUGGGCCUGUGUUUGUUUGUCAUGCUUGCAGGAAGAGGCUGAAGUGAAGGGUUCUCCUUCUCUAUCUGGCAUGACAACUUUUCUUAGCAAGUAGCUGGGGCAGAGCCCUAGCUGAACUGCUUGUGGCAUGUGUAGUACUCUUGGUAUGCAAAGGUGUGGGAGCUGAUGUGGGAAUUUCCACUCUUGUUGACGCCCCGCACCUGAAACAUUUUCCAGAAAUUAUAGCAGCAAAACCUACGCAUCCCUCAACUCGACUCUGGCUGCCUCUGAGUCCAUCCUGGCCUCCAGCCCCUGCCUCUCAGUCCAUCCUGGCCUCCAGCCCCUGCCUCUCAGCCCGUCCUGGCGUCCAGCCCCUGCCACCCUGAGCCAAGGGGUUUCUUCUGGAAAUCACGUCCACUUACUCACGUCUCACAGGCUUUGCCUUCAUCUGGGUUGAAUCACAGGUCCAGUCUAAUCAAACGAAUCCUUCAAAGAGGAGAAGCUUCCCCAGCUGAGGUCGUGGUUAGGGGACAACACGACUGCUGGAGAAGGGCCAGGAAGAUUCGCCGUUUUGCUGGCUUUGCAGGUGAAGAGAGGAGCCAUGAGCCAAGGCAUGCAGUGACCUCUGGGGGCUGGAAAGGCAAAGAAAAGAGCUCUCCCCAGAGCCCUCGCUUUCAGAAGGAACACGUCCCUGCCAGCCCCGCGAUUUCAGCCCAGAAUUUACAACUAGGAAUUUUCCUUGAAGAAUUGCUGUAGCUGCAUCUCAUAAAGUUGGAUAUGUAUCUUCAAGGUAAAUUCCCAACAGCAGAACCAUUAGAAAAGGAUAUGUAUUUAUAAUUUUGAAAGGUAUUACCAAUUGUCUUCUACAAGGAUUGCACCAAUAUACAUUUCUAUCAGCAAUGUAAGAGUUCUUAUUUUUCUUUAGAGUUGCCAACAAGGUGUAUUUUUAAACUUUGGGAUUUUCUCAGUCUAAAUUGGUAAAAAGUGGCAUUUUCAUGUAUUAUUAAAUUCUAUCUCUUACUAUGCAUGACAAUGAUUACCUUUCAUAUGUUUAAGGACCACUUUAGGUUUACUUUUGUGUUCCCAUCUUUUGCUCUUUUUUCCUUUGUGUGCGUGUGUGUGUGUGUGUGUGUGUGUGUGUGAUUUUCUUAUUGAUUUUUAGAAACUUACUAUUAUUAUUUUUUGAGACAGAGUUUUCACUCUUGUUGCUUAGGCUGGAGUGCAAUGGCAUGAUCUCGACUCACCACAACCUUCGCCUCCCGGGUUCAAGCGAUUCUCUUCCCUCAGCCUCCCGAGUAGCUAGGCUUACAGGCAUUAACCACCGCGCCCAGAUA
RNAcentral lists this long non-coding RNA (1449 nucleotides) under Papio anubis (olive baboon). RNAcentral's name for it is "lncRNA (ENSPANG00000036968.1)". Lineage: Eukaryota; Metazoa; Chordata; Mammalia; Primates; Cercopithecidae. The record is from RNAcentral.